RNAcentral lists this ribosomal RNA (459 nucleotides) under uncultured bacterium. RNAcentral describes it as "partial 16S ribosomal RNA". It matches the Rfam family "Bacterial small subunit ribosomal RNA", at positions 338 to 795 of the family's 1533-position model. The record is from RNAcentral.
CCUACGGGCGGCAGCAGUGAGGAAUAUUGGUCAAUGGCCGCAGGGCUGAACCAGCCAAGUCGCGUGAGGGAUGACGGUCCUAUGGAUUGUAAACCUCUUUUGUCAGGGAGCAAAGGGCGCCACGUGUGGCGUUUUGCGAGUACCUUAAGAAAAAGCAUCGGCAAACUCGGUGCCAGCAGCCGCGGUAAUACGGGGGAUGCGAGCGUUAUCCGGAUUUAUUGGGUUUAACGGGUGCGCAGGCGGAAUGUCAAGUCAGCGGUAAAAUUUCGGGGCGAAACCCCGUCGUGCCGUUGAGACUGGCGUUCUUGAGUGAGCGAGAAGUAUGCGGAAUGCGUGGUGUAGCGGUGAAAUGCGUAGAUAGCACGCAGAACUCCGAUUGCGAAGGCAGCAUACCGGCGCUCAACUGACGCUCAUGCGCGAAAGCGUGGGUAUCGAACAGGAUUAGAUACCCUUGUAGUC